This 599-nucleotide ribosomal RNA is filed under the name uncultured bacterium. RNAcentral describes it as "bacterial SSU rRNA". It matches the Rfam family "Bacterial small subunit ribosomal RNA", at positions 338 to 943 of the family's 1533-position model. The record is from RNAcentral.
CCUACGGGAGGCAGCAGUGGGGAAUAUUGCACAAUGGGCGAAAGCCUGAUGCAGCGACGCCGCGUGAGGGAUGACGGCCUUCGGGUUGUAAACCUCUUUCAGCAGGGAAGAAGCGAAAGUGACGGUACCUGCAGAAGAAGCGCCGGCUAACUACGUGCCAGCAGCCGCGGUAAUACGUAGGGCACAAGCGUUGUCCGGAAUUAUUGGGCGUAAAGAGCUCGUAGGCGGCUUGUCACGUCGGGUGUGAAAGCCCGGGGCUUAACCCCGGGUCUGCAUUCGAUACGGGCUAGCUAGAGUGUGGUAGGGGAGAUCGGAAUUCCUGGUGUAGCGGUGAAAUGCGCAGAUAUCAGGAGGAACACCGGUGGCGAAGGCGGAUCUCUGGGCCAUUACUGACGCUGAGGAGCGAAAGCGUGGGGAGCGAACAGGAUUAGAUACCCUGGUAGUCCACGCCGUAAACGGUGGGAACUAGGUGUUGGCGACAUUCCACGUCGUCGGUGCCGCAGCUAACGCAUUAAGUUCCCGCCUGGGGAGUACGGCCGCAAGGCUAAAACUCAAAGGAUAAGUAGCGUUGAGAGNGCGACGACGACGACGAGGAGGAG